This 75-nucleotide transfer RNA is filed under the name Anaerococcus tetradius. Its description in RNAcentral is "tRNA-Gly". It matches the Rfam family "tRNA". Rfam says of the family: Transfer RNA (tRNA) molecules are approximately 80 nucleotides in length. Their secondary structure includes four short double-helical elements and three loops (D, anti-codon, and T loops). RNAcentral also lists the same sequence under 3 other names. Lineage: Bacteria; Bacillati; Bacillota; Tissierellia; Tissierellales; Peptoniphilaceae. The record is from RNAcentral.
GCGGAUGUGGCUCAGGGGUAGAGCAUCGCCUUGCCAAGGCGAGGGUCGCGAGUUCGAAUCUCGUCAUCCGCUCCA